AAUGGCUCAGCCUUGGUGGAGAGAUCUGGCCGCCUACAGAUAACUGCGGUCUUUGUGCAACCCUUUCUAAGCACAUACGUACUGCUCCAUUCAGAGGGGGUUAGGCUAUUUAUUUGUCCAUUCUGAUCAUUUACAUGCAUUUCCAUCACACGUCCGUGAACCUGAUGUGCUCAUUCACUCACAAGCCUUUGUGUCGUUAACGCUGCAACAACGGCGACCAUAAAGGCAGCGAUACAAAUAAAAAAUUAAUGUUAAUUUAAUCAAAAGUCUCGUCCACGACUGUAUGUGUGUGCAUAUUCACAUGUAUGGGAGAUGAGAUGAGUGGAGAUAUCCCUGUCUGCUGCUCUGAGCUGUUUAUCAGCGCGUGGUUCCUCUCAGCAUGCUGAGCAGCCGAGGCGACUCCCAGUGUGAGGCUGAGCAGGCAGAGCUGUCAUUGUUUAACGCCUCCCCUGAUUAGUUUACUCUCGCCUGAUUAGUUUACUCUCAUCUGAGUAGUUUACUCUCGCCUGAUUAGUUUACUCUCGCCUGAUUAGUUUACUCUCGCCUGAUUAGAAAUUAAUUAAAAUGAUGACACAGAUCCCAGCAGAGGAGCAGGAGAAGGGGAGGAGGUGGAAGGAUAAAGGGGGGGUUGCUGGGGAGGAGGAGAGGGGGCAAAGAGGUGAAACGAGGGUUUGCUGGUGAUGUCCAUGGGGGAUAGUUGAAGUUAUGUCAGGGAGCUUUUAGCCAAAGAGUGUGCAGCAGGGAGGCAUUUGUUGUCGAGUGUGUGGCAAGCAUGAGGGGAUGAUUCUGUGGAAAUGAGGAGAGAGGUUUCAAUCCAUGGAUUGGUGGUGUACCUCAGAGAAAAGGAGGAGAAGCUCUUUAAAGAGCAGUCGGUUGAUCGGGAUCUCACCAACGAAGUGUUGAAAAUCAUUGUAACCAGAGGUGCCUCAUCUGAUCCAGCCAGCGCUCAGAUUGGAACGGUGGGAACAGAAGUCCUGGAAGAAGUAGACGUACCCAGAGCCUGUGCCUUGCUAAUGGGACUGAUCUACUCACUCAAUCUCAGCUACCCAAAGGAACUAAAAAACACCUUUGAAGUGUUUCAAAAGACAGACAAAGUGGUAUUUCCUGACUGUUCCCAUCCCCGUCUGAGUUAUAUGACACCCCCCUCCCCCAAAAUACGGCUGGGAGGGGCCCAGGGAAACGAGGCACCGCAGCCUUAUCCCGUGUGUUGA
This 1211-nucleotide long non-coding RNA is filed under the name Nothobranchius furzeri (turquoise killifish). RNAcentral describes it as "lncRNA (ENSNFUG00015020038.1)". Lineage: Eukaryota; Metazoa; Chordata; Actinopteri; Cyprinodontiformes; Nothobranchiidae. The record is from RNAcentral.